AGUGAACGCUGGCGGUAGGCCUAACACAUGCAAGUCGAACGGCAGCACAGUAAGAGCUUGCUCUUACGGGUGGCGAGUGGCGGACGGGUGAGGAAUACAUCGGAAUCUACUUUUUCGUGGGGGAUAACGUAGGGAAACUUACGCUAAUACCGCAUACGACCUACGGGUGAAAGCAGGGGAUCUUCGGACCUUGCGCGAUUGAAUGAGCCGAUGUCGGAUUAGAUAGUUGGCGGGGUAAAGGCCCACCAAGGCGACGAUCCGUAGCUGGUCUGAGAGGAUGAUAAGCCACACUGGAACUGAGACACGGUCCAGACUCCUACGGGAGGCAGCAGUGGGGAAUAUUAGACAAUGGGCGCAAGCAUGAUCCAGCCAUACCGCGUGGGUGAAGACGGCCUUCGGGUUGUAAAGCCCUUUUGUUGGGAAAGAAAAGCAGCAGGUUAAUACCCCGCUGUUCUGACGGUACCCAAAGAAUAAGCACCGGCUAACUUCGUG
This 492-nucleotide ribosomal RNA is filed under the name uncultured bacterium. Its description in RNAcentral is "partial 16S ribosomal RNA". It matches the Rfam family "Bacterial small subunit ribosomal RNA", at positions 29 to 507 of the family's 1533-position model. The record is from RNAcentral.